Non-coding RNA from Cinara cedri, 237 nucleotides. The record is from the annotation of a GenBank genome assembly. NCBI's taxonomy places the organism in Eukaryota, Metazoa, Arthropoda, Insecta, Hemiptera, Aphididae.
UAUAGCUGUUGUCGGCAGGUAUUACUUCAGGUAAUCGUAAAAAAAUGUAAAUUGUCACUACAACGAUGAUAUUAAUCAGUCUAAUUAGUUUUCAAGGAAGACCGCGAAAAACGCAUGAAAUAAGCGUAAUUGCGCAGUGUUGAAGGUCAAAAAAAUAUAAUAAUAUACUGUACUUUACUAAAAAGAUUAGGCUACCGAUAAAAUAUUCUCUUAUGAACUCAUCGGUCUGACAAUUUA